Molecule: ribosomal RNA, 424 nt
Filed under: uncultured prokaryote
Description: bacterial SSU rRNA
Rfam family: Bacterial small subunit ribosomal RNA
Source: RNAcentral
UGGGGAAUAUUGGACAAUGGGCGCAAGCCUGAUCCAGCCAUGCCGCGUGAGUGAUGAAGGCCCUAGGGUUGUAAAGCUCUUUCAACGGUGACGAUGAUGACGGUAGCCGUAGAAGAAGCCCCGGCUAACUUCGUGCCAGCAGCCGCGGUAAUACGAAGGGGGCGAGCGUUGUCCGGAAUUACUGGGCGUAAAGGGCGCGUAGGCUGUGUGUCGCGUCAGGUGUGAAAGCCCCGGGCUCAACCUGGGAACUGCACUUGAUACGGGCACACUUGAGGACGGGAGAGGUGAGUGGAAUUCCCAGUGUAGAGGUGAAAUUCGUAGAUAUUGGGAAGAACACCAGUGGCGAAGGCGGCUCACUGGCCCGUUACUGACGCUGAGGCGCGAAAGCGUGGGGAGCAAACAGGAUUAGAUACCCCCGUAGUCC